Molecule: long non-coding RNA, 672 nt
Filed under: Pongo abelii (Sumatran orangutan)
Lineage: Eukaryota; Metazoa; Chordata; Mammalia; Primates; Hominidae
Description: lincRNA
Source: RNAcentral
AAGCUAAUAAGGUUCACGAAGAAAUAAUAAAGACUUUUUCCAGGUACCAUGUGACUUUGUCCACUUAUGCUCACACCCAAUAACAAAGAAGAAGAAAAGGAGAAAAGGAUCAGAAAGAAGAAGAUGAGGCAGUGGCAGCAGAAGAGGAGGUAGCUGGAAAAGCUUCCAUCUUUUGUUGCCUUAUAUACACCAAUCCGACCUUGCUCAACUCUGCCUGAGCUGCAUGGUCACCUUUAAGCUUUCUCAAACCACAGAUGAUUGGAGGCCACCCCAGAAUUACUGAGUCUGAAUCUGCUGCAGUUGUGCCCAGGUGUGUGUGCAGUGUUUAAGUUCUCCAUGGACCAUUCUAAUGCACAACCAGAUUUGAGCAAGACUGGAUGGGGCAGUUUACCUGAGAAAAGAUCUUAUUUCAUUGUCAUGACAACCACAGAAAGUACAUACUUUGAUCUUCAUCUUAGAAACAAUGAAUCCAAGUCACUGAGAAGUCAAAAACUUGCUCAGGAUAACACAGAAGAUGACCAUCUUUUACUGCCCAACGACAUCUCUCUACCAAUGUGAACAGAGAAUAGCAGCACAGUGAUCACCUGCAGAUAGACCUGGCUUUAUCUGUACAUAACACCAAAAGCAAGAACCUGGAUUCUAGAAGGAAAUAAAGAUUUUCAGUCCCUGCAA